RNAcentral lists this transfer RNA (76 nucleotides) under Bacteroidetes bacterium HGW-Bacteroidetes-11. RNAcentral's name for it is "tRNA-Trp". It matches the Rfam family "tRNA". From Rfam's summary of the family: Transfer RNA (tRNA) molecules are approximately 80 nucleotides in length. Their secondary structure includes four short double-helical elements and three loops (D, anti-codon, and T loops). Further hydrogen bonds mediate the characteristic L-shaped molecular structure. tRNAs have two regions of fundamental functional importance: the anti-codon, which is responsible for specific mRNA codon recognition, and the 3' end, to which the tRNAs corresponding amino acid is attached (by aminoacyl-tRNA synthetases). tRNAs cope with the degeneracy of the genetic code in two manners: having more than one tRNA (with a specific anti-codon) for a particular amino acid; and 'wobble' base-pairing, i.e. permitting non-standard base-pairing at the 3rd anti-codon position. Lineage: Bacteria; Pseudomonadati; Bacteroidota. RNAcentral also lists the same sequence under 1 other name. The record is from RNAcentral.
ACGGGUGUAGCUCAAUUGGUAGAGUAGCGGUCUCCAAAACCGUUGGUUGGGAGUUCGAGUCUCUCCUCCCGUGCAA